RNAcentral lists this unclassified non-coding RNA (4447 nucleotides) under Hevea brasiliensis (rubber tree). Lineage: Eukaryota; Viridiplantae; Streptophyta; Magnoliopsida; Malpighiales; Euphorbiaceae. The record is from RNAcentral.
CUGAACGAUUUUGGGUUAAAUCCCCAUCUAAAAAAAAAAAAGAAAAAAAAAAUACCUUUUUUUUUAUUCUUUCCUUUCUUUUCUUUUUUAAUUAAUGAUAGGCAGCUCUGUCUCUAUCAGUGCCACUGCCACAACGCGUCCUUAACUCUUUUUUCUUUGCUUUUUUUUUUUUGUUUUUUAUCCGACAGUUUAUCGUUAGGAUGCCGGAUAUACGUCGUCAAAGUCGAAGCCUGUAAAAUUUUUCCUUUGUUAUCCCAUUUUCAAUGUUUUCAAGCACGCAUUAUUAAACAAUUUGUCAUCUUCCACUUCCGGUACUUCCCAAGGGAAAAAGACUUCCUUUCAUGUGUUUUUUACUAUAUUGCCAAAUAUUCAGAUUUGGCUUCUUUCCCCUCUUUUUUGGGUUCACCAAUUUGUUCUUGUCGUGCUCUGUUGUUGAUUUGAGCGUCCCUUCUCUUGGGUGCUUUUUGCAACAAUGGGUACUCAGCUCCAUCACAACUUGGUUCAAACCCCCACCAGUAAUGGCAAGCACCUCAAAAAAUGGCGCCUAGCCUUUGAUGCCAUCUUUUUUUCCAGAACAUUGCUCUAUGUUGCCAAAAACGCUGUAAAACAGCAGUUAAAUGGCAGACUAUUGCGCACUCUGUCCUACACGGCAAUUGAUAUCAAGACACAGACUGAGCACUUUGAUAAAGUAAGUCUCUCCAAGCUUGUGGAGGAGGAAAAUCUUGACCAACUUAGAAGUUUUGGUGGGGUUGAUGGUGUUGUUGCAGCCCUGAAAAGUGAUGCAAAGAAUGGAAUCAGAGAUGAUCAUGCAGAUGUUUUCAAUCGACAAAUGACCUUUGGUUCAAACACGUAUGAAAGGCCACCAGCAAAAAGCUUGUUCUACUUUGUGUUAAAGGCCUUCAAAGAUCCCAUGAUCGUCCUUGCGGUUGUGUGCAGUGCCUUUUCUCUUGGGUUUGGUAUUAGAAAGCAUGGACUGACAAAAGGAUGGAGUGACGGAGGCAGCAUAUUUCUCGCUAUUUCUAUAGUUAUCAUGGCAUCUUCUGUCAGCAACUACUGGCCCAACAGACAAUUCAACAAGAUGUCCCAAAUCAGUUACACUAUGAAGGUGGAAGUUGUCAGGAGUGGGUGGAGGCAGCAUAUCCCAGUUGAUCAAAUUGUGGUAGGAGAUGUUGUUUGUCUAAGGAUUGGGGAUAAAAUUCCCGCUGAUGGGUUGUUCUUACACGGCCAUUCAUUAUCAAUUGAUAAAUCAAGCCUGACAAUGAACACUGACAUCGUGGCUGUUAACUGUCAUCUGAAUCCCUUUUUGUGGUCUGGCUCUAUGGUGGCAGAUGGGUAUGCCCUGAUGCUUGUCACAUCUGUUGGCAUGAACACAAAAUGGGGCAAGAUGCUUAGCACAAAAUGGAAAGAUCCACAUGAAACGACACCUGUACAGGCCCGGCUGCAAGCAAUAACUUCUUUAACCGUUAAAGUUGGCUUGAUGGUAGCUUCAUUGGUUUUCUUGGUGUGGUUGGUUCAUUACUUCAAGGGGGAAAUGAGAAACGGAUAUGUGCCAGGCAAGACAGAAUUUCAUGAAGUUAUCUGUGAGAUGGUUGGAAUACUAGCCACUGUAAUUGCUAUUGCAGCAGGAGCAGUUGCAGAGGGCUUACCAUUGGCUGUUGUAAUCACUCUUGCUUAUUCAAUGAAGAGUAUGACAAAUAAUCACACUAUUGUCAGAAAACAUUCAGCCUGUGAGGCAAUAGCCUCAGCCACCACCAUCUGCACAAAAUUGAAUCAGAUGGCAGUAACAAAGUUUUGGUUAGGGCAAGGAUUCAUUGAACAAGGUGCCUACUCACAAGUUGCACCAACCAUCAUUGAAUUGCUCCACCAAGCAGUUGGUCUACACACAACUCAAAACUCUUCAAAAGUUUCCUCAUUCAUUUGGACUCCAACAGAAAAGGCGAUCAUUUGUUGGGCCAUCCAGGAGAUGGGCAUGAAUACUCGGGAAUUGAAAGAAACCUGCAGCAUUCUACAUGGUGAAGCAUUUGAUUCAUCGAAGACACGUGGUGGGUUUUUGAUGAAGAAGAAUAAUGAUAAUAAAAUCCAUGUGCACUGGAAAGGGACACCAGAGGCUAUACUAGCCAUGUGUUCACAAUAUUAUGACACAACAGGGAUUGUCAAAGCCAUUGAUUAUGAUACAAGGGAGAAACUGAAUCACGUAGCUCAAGUAAUGGCAACUGAUGGACUUCAAUGCGUUGCUUUUGCACAUAAAAAAACUUCCAUAGAUCUUUAUGAAAAUGGAAUGGAUCGAUUAAUAGAAGAUGAUUGCUUGGCAUUCAUAGGAUUAGUUGGUGUAAAGGAUCUAUGCCAACCUGGGGUUCAAAAAGCUGUAGCAGAUUGCCAAUAUGCUGGAGUGAACAUCAAAAUGGUAACAAGAGAUGGAGUUUUAGUUGCAAGAGCUAUAGCAACUGAAUGUGGCAUACUCAAGCCUGAACAAAGCAUGGAGAGUGAAGUAGUAGAAGGGGCAGAAUUUCAAAAUUACACAGAAGAGGAGAGAAUGGCAAAGGUUGAUAAAAUUCGUGUGAUGGCAAGUGCCUCUCCUUCUGACAUUCUUCUUAUGGUGAAAUAUUUAAGACAAAAAGGCCACAUAGUGGCAGUUAUUGGUACUGACACAGAGGAUGCAGCUGCUUUGAGGGAAGCUGAUAUAGGCAUCUCUAUGGGGAUUCAGGCCGCUGAGGUAGCCAAAGAGAGCUCUGACAUAGUCAUAUUGGUUGAUGAUUUUGUUUCUGUUGUCAAUGUUUUGAAAUGGGGGAGAACUAUGUUUAACCAAAUCCAGAUAUUUGCUCAGUUCCAGCUCACACUGAGCAUUACUUCACUAGCGAUUGACUUUGUGACAGCACUUUCAGCUAGUGAGCCACCAACCAUCAAAAUUGUAGCUGCUAUCUCAUCCGGAGAAAUCCCAUUUGCAGCUCUACAAGUUUUGUGGGUGAAGCUAAUCAUGGGUACAUUGGCUGCUCUGGCUCUUGCUACAGGGCAACCCUCCAAGGAGCUCAUGAAGUGUCCAGUGGAUGGAAAACCUCUUAUAACCAACAUCAUGUGGAGAAACAUAUUAGCUCAAGCUAUCUACCACAUAGCUAUCCUAUUGACCAUACAGUUCAAGGGCAAAGCAAUCUUCGGCGUGAAUGAGGAGGUAAAAGACACUAUGAUGUUCAAUACUUUUGUUCUUUGUCAAGUAUUUAAUAAAUUCAAUGCAAGAGAGCUAAAGAAGAAGAACAUCUUUAAGAGGAUACACAAGAACAAAUUGUUUGUAGGCAUCAUAGGGGCAAUAAUUAUUCUUCAAGUCGUGAUGGUGGAAUUUCUAAAGAGGUUUGCUGGUACAGAGAGGCUGAAUUGGGGGCAAUGGGGUGCUAGCAUUGGAAUCGCAGCUAUGUCAUGGCCAGUUGCUUGGUAUGUCAAGUGGAUACCUGUCCCAAACAAACCAUUUUUUAACUAUCUAAAGUGGAAGAAUUAGGACUUAGAAAUACAGUUAGUAAUCCUUAGGGUUUGGUAUAUAGUUUUGUGAUAAAUUCUAGAGUUCUAUUAGCAUUUGAUAGUGCACUUGUUCGCUAAUAAAAUAUGAUUUAGAUUUUGUACGGUUUCAUAAAUAUAUAAUUUUGUUUCCUCCAAUUAGGGCAGCUUUUACAACGUUAUAUCCUUUUGUUGGGACAAAAGCAAGGCAAGGAUAGAAAAGAAGCAGAUUUUCAUGAACAAUUAGUUCUAGCGGCAUGUAUCUAUAUGAUUAUUCCUACUAGCUAGAAUAAAGAUCAGUUGCCAAACCAAUUGUAGCACAGCAUGUUGGUAAGAGCUAGCAUCUAUUAAUUCAGAGUACAAAAGGAUGAGACCAACGAACAAGAAUAGCAAACAAUGGAAGAAUAAAAUUUAAUUCUUGCAAUAUUUACCUAAUUUAAUUAUCAGCAGACCAAUGGCAACCCAAAACAAUCAACAAGAAUGAAGAAACCAUUAUUUGUUGCACCAAAACUAGCCCAGCUCUUAAGAUAAUGGCAAAUAAUAGGUGCAAAACCAAAAGCAUGACAAGAAACAAAAAACUUAAAUCUUAUAAUUCUUGUACACGAGUAACAAAAAAAAGGCCUCCCAGAAUAUCAGAUAUCUUAAUCAGUGUUUAAUUUAAGCGAACACAUAACAUGCUUCCAUGAAGUGUAAUAUGCUGAAAAUAAACAGAGCCUCAGUUUUCAUUGAAGGAAAAGAGUGGGAAUUCAGUGAAAAUGGACCUGGUUGAAUGCCCGAGCAAUUUCUGUUUGAACAUGGUUCUUUGUGACCGACCGGGCCCGGCUUUACUUCUCUUCAGUAUCCUCCUCACUCGAGCUCUUGUUCUUGCGGCGUAUUCUUAUCACAGAAUCACCCCAAUCAUUGGUGCCAAAUGGAAAUUCCCUCGACUCUGCCCUUCAUAGAAAAAUCUGUUACGUCCAAUAAU